CGGCGUGGGGCAGCUACACAUGCAGUCGAGCGAGCUGAGUCUUCGAUACCUUCCGAGUGAUUUGUUGGACGCUAACGGCGGAGGGGUGAGUAACUCGUGGGCGAUCUGCCCUAAAGACUGGGAUACCUCUUGGAAACACGUGCUAGUACCGGAUGACGGACCGAAUCGCAUGAUUCUAUUUUGACGGGCGAUGGCUGCUGUCACUUUUGGAUGAGCCCGCGGCGCCCUAGGUAAUUAGUGGGGUAAGGGCCUACCAGAGCAUUGAUGCCUAUGCGACUUAAAAGACUGCUCGACCCCAUUGGGACGGAGACACGGGCCAUUCUCCAACAGGAGGCAAACCUUGGUAAUCUUCCGCCAUGGACGCAAGUCUGAUGGACCAACGCCACGUGAGUGAAGAAAGGUUUCAGAUCCUAUAGCUCUAUUGUUGGUGAAGAAGGAUAUACGUGAUAACUGGUCUUUAUUUGACUGCGAUCCACCAGAAAGUCACGGCUAACUACGUGCCACCUUCCGCGGAAUUACUGAGGUGGCAAGCGUUGUCCGGAUUUAUUGGGCAUAAAGCUAACGCCCGCGGAAUGAUCCUUCUGAUGUGAAUUCCCACUGCUCAACCGUGGAACUGCAUAGGAGACUGUCAUUCUUGAGUGCAGAAUAAGAUAGUGGAAUUCCAUGUGUAGCGCUGGAGUGCGUAGAUGCAUGGAAGAACACCACUGGCGAACGCGCCUCUAUGGUCUGCAACUGACGCUGAUGCUCUACCGCGUGGGUCCCCAACAUGAUUAGAUACACUGAUAUGCUAUGCAGUAAACUAUUAGCGCUAGGUGCUGGGGACUUUCCGGUCCUCACUGCCGCAUCAACGCAUUAGUCGCUCCUCCUGGGAAGUGCGACCGACCGUUGAAACUGUGGGAAUUUACAUGAGCUCGCUCCAGCGCUGGAGAAUGUGGCUACACUCGACGCGACGCGAACAUUCUUAACAUGUCUUGACAUUCUGCACUACACCUAGCAGAUAGGUGCUGCCCUUCUGUCAUCAGCACACGUGUGGAGCAUGUCUGUCGUCAGCUCCUGUCAUGACAUGUCUUGUUAAUUCCUGCUACGAACGCGAACCUUUGUCUAUACUGCCGUCCAUUAAGCUGGGCAUCUGAGGGAAGAUGCUGAUUACACACCCGGGACGAUAUGGGUGGAUGAUCUCCAGGUCAUCAUAGUCGCCUUGUGACUAGGCUGACACACCUGCUCCCAGUUGACUACACGGACGAUCUAGUACGGUACGAAUCGCUCUAUACACAUGUUCUCGGAAUUCCGGAAUGUGCACAA
RNAcentral lists this ribosomal RNA (1302 nucleotides) under Lactobacillus delbrueckii. Its description in RNAcentral is "bacterial SSU rRNA". It matches the Rfam family "Bacterial small subunit ribosomal RNA", at positions 40 to 1307 of the family's 1533-position model. The record is from RNAcentral. Lineage: Bacteria; Bacillati; Bacillota; Bacilli; Lactobacillales; Lactobacillaceae.